GUAGUCGAUGGGAAACAGGUUAAUAUUCCUGUACUUGGUGUUACUGCGAAGGGGGGACGGAGAAGGCUAUGUUGGCCGGGCGACGGUUGUCCCGGUUUAAGCGUGUAGGCUGGUUUUCCAGGCAAAUCCGGAAAACCAAGGCUGAGGCGUGAUGACGAGGCACUACGGUGCUGAAGUGACAAAUGCCCUGCUUCCAGGAAAAGCCUCUAAGCAUCAGGUAACAUCAAAUCGUACCCCAAACCGACACAGGUGGUCAGGUAGAGAAUACCAAGGCGCUUGAGAGAACUCGGGUGAAGGAACUAGGCAAAAUGGUGCCGUAACUUCGGGAGAAGGCACGCUGAUAUGUAGGUGAAGCGACUUGCUCGUGGAGCUGAAAUCAGUCGAAGAUACCAGCUGGCUGCAACUGUUUAUUAAAAACACAGCACUGUGCAAACACGAAAGUGGACGUAUACGGUGUGACGCCUGCCCGGUGCCGGAAGGUUAAUUGAUGGGGUUAGCGGUAACGCGAAGCUCUUGAUCGAAGCCCCGGUAAACGGCGGCCGUAACUAUAACGGUCCUAAGGUAGCGAAAUUCCUUGUCGGGUAAGUUCCGACCUGCACGAAUGGCGUAAUGAUGGCCAGGCUGUCUCCACCCGAGACUCAGUGAAAUUGAACUCGCUGUGAAGAUGCAGUGUACCCGCGGCAAGACGGAAAGACCCCGUGAACCUUUACUAUAGCUUGACACUGAACAUUGAGCCUUGAUGUGUAGGAUAGGUGGGAGGCUUUGAAGUGUGGACGCCAGUCUGCAUGGAGCCGACCUUGAAAUACCACCCUUUAAUGUUUGAUGUUCUAACGUUGGCCCGUAAUCCGGGUUGCGGACAGUGUCUGGUGGGUAGUUUGACUGGGGCGGUCUCCUCCUAAAGAGUAACGGAGGAGCACGAAGGUUGGCUAAUCCUGGUCGGACAUCAGGAGGUUAGUGCAAUGGCAUAAGCCAGCUUGACUGCGAGCGUGACGGCGCGAGCAGGUGCGAAAGCAGGUCAUAGUGAUCCGGUGGUUCUGAAUGGAAGGGCCAUCGCUCAACGGAUAAAAGGUACUCCGGGGAUAACAGGCUGAUACCGCCCAAGAGUUCAUAUCGACGGCGGUGUUUGGCACCUCGAUGUCGGCUCAUCACAUCCUGGGGCUGAAGUAGGUCCCAAGGGUAUGGCUGUUCGCCAUUUAAAGUGGUACGCGAGCUGGGUUUAGAACGUCGUGAGACAGUUCGGUCCCUAUCUGCCGUGGGCGCUGGAGAACUGAGGGGGGCUGCUCCUAGUACGAGAGGACCGGAGUGGACGCAUCACUGGUGUUCGGGUUGUCAUGCCAAUGGCACUGCCCGGUAGCUAAAUGCGGAAGAGAUAAGUGCUGAAAGCAUCUAAGCACGAAACUUGCCCCGAGAUGAGUUCUCCCUGAGACUUAGAGUCUCCUGAAGGAACGUUGA
Molecule: ribosomal RNA, 1452 nt
Filed under: Escherichia coli
Lineage: Bacteria; Pseudomonadati; Pseudomonadota; Gammaproteobacteria; Enterobacterales; Enterobacteriaceae
Description: partial 23S ribosomal RNA
Rfam family: Bacterial large subunit ribosomal RNA
Source: RNAcentral